AAAGCAAUAGUACUAAACAAGAUGCAGAAAAAAAGGAAAUUUCAGCCAAAAGACGACCAGUAUGUUCUAAUUGGCUAUUUGGAGGAAUCGAAAGCUUAUCGACUUUGGAAAUCUGGAACAAAGACUGUAAUCAAGGCUAGAAAUGUUAAAUUUUUUGAAAAUUUAAAUUCAAAAGAUAUAGCGACAAACAACAUUCUAACUAUACCAGGAGACAUCAAAAUUGACGUUGAUGAAUCAGCCAAGUUACCAUUAGAACAAUCUCCUAAUGCACAAGGAAGCAUUUAUGAUUUUGAUAAAGAAGAUUCAAGCACAGAAGAAUUU
RNAcentral lists this long non-coding RNA (321 nucleotides) under Androctonus crassicauda. The record is from RNAcentral. Lineage: Eukaryota; Metazoa; Arthropoda; Arachnida; Scorpiones; Buthidae.